CAGGAAGAAAAUACUUUAUUAGAUUUCACCAAAGAAGCAAAACUAGAAGUAUUCUAGUUGUCUUUUAACUUUGGAAGCUAAUAUAUAAAGAAACAUAGAAGUUUUCUUUCCCCAGCGUGUGUGCCUCUAUUCACCUAGACAGAGUUGUGAACCUGAACGAUUCUCAGCUGUGAGGGGAAGGAACAAGUAAAAAUCAGUUUGUUUUGAAGAAAAGGAAAGAGUAAGAAGUAGUUCCUUGGUGCAGUGACUACUAAAAGCUGCCUUCUCCAACUUCCUCUGCUCCUGAGCUCUGCACGUAAAGCUCAAUCAUCAAAAAGAAGACAUUCUUCAACGCUAAAGCACAAUAAAAGAAAAAUUCAUGGUGUUCUCA
This is a long non-coding RNA of Pipra filicauda (Wire-tailed manakin), 370 nucleotides long. RefSeq lists it as uncharacterized. The record is from RefSeq and is a predicted model, not a curated record. The transcript has 3 exons. Lineage: Eukaryota; Metazoa; Chordata; Aves; Passeriformes; Pipridae.